ACGAACGCUGGCGGCGCGCUUUACGCAUGCAAGUCGAACGCCCCGAGCAAUCGGGGAGUGGCGGACGGCUGAGUAACGCGUAGGUAACCUAUCCAGUGGCGGGGGAUAACCCGCCGAAAGGCGAGCUAAUACCGCAUGUGUCCGGUGGGUGAAACUCCUGCCGGGGAAAGCAGUAAUGCGCCAUUGGAGGGGCCUGCGUCCUAUCACGGUAGUUGGUGGGGUAACGGCCUACCAAGCCUGUGACGGGUAGCUGGUCUGAGAGGACGACCAGCCAGAAGGGGACUGAGACACGGCCCCUACUCCUACGGGAGGCAGCAGCGAGGAAUCUUGGGCAAUGGGCGAAAGCCUGACCCAGCGACGCCGCGUGAGGGAUGAAGGCCUUCGGGUCGUAAACCUCUUUUGUGAGGGAAGAAGUUCUGACGGUACCUCACGAAUAAGCCACGGCUAACUACGU
Molecule: ribosomal RNA, 454 nt
Filed under: uncultured bacterium
Lineage: Bacteria
Description: bacterial SSU rRNA
Rfam family: Bacterial small subunit ribosomal RNA
Source: RNAcentral